AGGACGAACGCUGGCGGCGUGCUUAACACAUGCAAGUCGAACGGUAAGGCCCCUUCGGGGGUACACGAGUGGCGAACGGGUGAGUAACACGUGAGCAACCUGCCCUUGACUCUGGAAUAACAGCUGGAAACAGCUGCUAAUACUGGAUACGACCUCCGGCGACAUCGCCUGGAGGUGGAAAGCUCCGGCGGUCAAGGAUGGGCUCGCGGCCUAUCAGCUUGUUGGUGAGGUAACGGCUCACCAAGGCUUCGACGGGUA
This 258-nucleotide ribosomal RNA is filed under the name uncultured bacterium. Its description in RNAcentral is "partial small subunit ribosomal RNA". It matches the Rfam family "Bacterial small subunit ribosomal RNA", at positions 26 to 285 of the family's 1533-position model. The record is from RNAcentral.